UACAGAGGGGGCAAGCGUUAUUCGGAAUUAUUGGGCGUAAAGGGCGCGUAGGCGGCUUCGCAAGUGGAAGGUGAAAUCCCUCGGCUCAACCGAGGAACUGCCUUUCAAACUGCGUUGCUUGAGUCCGGGAGAGGUGAGUGGAAUUCCCAGUGUAGCGGUGAAAUGCGUAGAUAUUGGGAGGAACACCAGUGGCGAAGGCGGCUACCUGGACCGGUUCUGACGCUGAGGUGCGAAAGCGUGGGGAGCAAACAGG
RNAcentral lists this ribosomal RNA (253 nucleotides) under uncultured bacterium. RNAcentral's name for it is "partial 16S ribosomal RNA". It matches the Rfam family "Bacterial small subunit ribosomal RNA", at positions 524 to 776 of the family's 1533-position model. The record is from RNAcentral.